This 483-nucleotide ribosomal RNA is filed under the name uncultured bacterium. RNAcentral describes it as "partial 16S ribosomal RNA". It matches the Rfam family "Bacterial small subunit ribosomal RNA", at positions 28 to 507 of the family's 1533-position model. The record is from RNAcentral.
GACGAACGCUGGCGGCGUGCUUAACACAUGCCAGUCGAACGGCGAAGCUCAGCUUUUGUUGGGUGGAUGAGUGGCGAACGGGUGAGUAACACGUGAGUAACCUGCCCCCUUCUUUGGGAUAACGCCCGGAAACGGGUGCUAAUACAGGAUAUUCACUGGUCUUCGCGUGGGGGGUGGGGGCAAGGGUAUUUCUGGUGGGGGAUGGGCUCGCGGCCUAUCGGCUUGUUGGUGGGGGGAUGGCCUAACAAGGCGUUGACGGGUAGCCGGGAUGAGGGGGUGACCGGGCACAAUGGGACUGAGAUACGGCCUAGGCUAGGACGCGGGGGAGCAGAGGGGAAUAUUGCGGAAGGGGCGAUAGCGUGAUGCCGCGACGGGGAGGGAGGGAUGGAGGCCGUCGGGUUGUGAUCCUGUUUCGGAAAUGGUCCAGCCGCAACAAUGGUUGUGGUGACGGUAGUGGGAAAAGAAGCGCCGGCUAACUACGUG